UACUCGAGUGGCGAACGGGUGAGUAACACGUGGGUGAUCUGCCUUGCACUCUGGGAUAAGCUUGGGAAACUGGGUCUAAUACCGGAUAGGAACCGUCUUUAGUGUGGUGGUUGGAAAAUUUUUUCGGUGCAAGAUGAGCUCGCGGCCUAUCAGCUUGUUGGUGGGGUAAUGGCCUACCAAGGCGUCGACGGGUAGCCGGCCUGAGAGGGUGUACGGCCACAUUGGGACUGAGAUACGGCCCAG
This 243-nucleotide ribosomal RNA is filed under the name uncultured Actinomycetales bacterium. RNAcentral describes it as "partial 16S ribosomal RNA". It matches the Rfam family "Bacterial small subunit ribosomal RNA", at positions 88 to 334 of the family's 1533-position model. Lineage: Bacteria; Bacillati; Actinomycetota; Actinomycetes; Actinomycetales. The record is from RNAcentral.